This 401-nucleotide ribosomal RNA is filed under the name uncultured bacterium. RNAcentral's name for it is "bacterial SSU rRNA". It matches the Rfam family "Bacterial small subunit ribosomal RNA", at positions 361 to 776 of the family's 1533-position model. The record is from RNAcentral.
AUAUUGGACAAUGGGGGGAACCCUGAUCCAGCGACGCCGCGUGAGUGAAGAAGUAUUUCGUGAUGUAAAGCUCUAUCAGCAGGGAAGAAAGAAAUGACGGUACCUGACUAAGAAGCCCCGGCUAACUACGUGCCAGCAGCCGCGGUAAUACGUAGGGGGCAAGCGUUAUCCGGAUUUACUGGGUGUAAAGGGAGCGUAGACGGCGAUGCAAGUCUGGAGUGAAAGGCGGGGGCCCAACCCCCGGACUGCUCUGGAAACUAUGUGACUGGAGUGCAGGAGAGGUGAGCGGAAUUCCUAGUGUAGCGGUGAAAUGCGUAGAUAUUAGGAGGAACACCAGUGGCGAAGGCGGCUCACUGGACUGUAACUGACGUUGAGGCUCGAAAGCGUGGGGAGCUAACAGG